CAGGGACAGAGUCACAUGGUCAUGCUUGGGUCAGUCUGUAAGAGUGAGAGUGACAUCCCGUAACACACACAUCUCCAGAAAUGUCACGGCUCUGUGUGUGUGUGUGUGUGUGUGUGUGUGUGUGUGUGUGUUGCGUGUGGCUAGUGAGACGAUCUGAUAUUGUACUCAAGGAAAUGAAAUCUGUUCCGAAUCCCGUGCCCAGAUUUAAAUGACUCGGUGAUGCGUGUCUGUGUGACUCAUGAGCGUUUAUUUGUUUACUUGUUUUUCUGUUUACUUGCUUAUUACUCGUACUGAUGACCUCUCGCUAUUCAUUAUUCAGUCAGUACUACGAAUGGCAUGUCUGAUGAUGUCAUAACAGGCUAUACAUGCUAUACAUCUAUCAUUUCUGUUUGUCAGUCUGUCUCUCUCUUUCCUCAGGUCCCUACAAACACAGUACCUACUUUCUUCAGUGUGUGUGGGUGUACGUGUGACUGAAAGACAGAGAAGGAGAUGGCAAGGAAAGUAUUACACACUUGCAUUGAGCAGCUUGAUGCUCCGGACACACACUCACUCUCUCUCUCUCUCUCUCACAGAGAACAAACCUUUAGCUUCUUUCAGCUUCUAGUUUUAUACUGACCUUCCUGUCCUCCUACUCUUAAGGCCCGUUCACACCAGGUCCUUUUAAUGCCCUAGUGACUGUCAAUGGGAGUGUUCACACCCACACGUAAAACACGUGGCGUCAAAGCGUCAAAAACUGUCCGACCAACGAGAUUCACGCUUUUGUGCACGUGCCCAGAGUCACUGAAGUUACAUAAAAAUAGGACUUGAUGGGGCUCAAGUACAAAGCCGUCUUGCAGAUGAAGAAGAAGCUGUAAAUAUAUAAAAUUGCAUGUAACUUUAAUGAAUGAAUAGCAGACAAGAACUUCAUGACUCAUUUAUGAUGUUGUGGCUAUUUUUUUGGAUUUAGCUUUAAAGAAGUAGGCUAUUUGUUGCAGUGGCCAAAUCAGCAAAGACCUUAAAUUUCUAUAGAACGUGUAGAACAUGUUAGACCAAAAAUAUUACAUAUCAGUUGCUGUAGUGAGUGCUGGUGCUUAUAGAGAUUAUGUAUUAAUCUCUGUUAGCCAGUUCACAAAAUGUCUGUGAAGCGGGUGUCAGAAACGGAAAGUUGUGCAGCGCCACCUGGAAGGUACAUGAGAUUAUUUACACCAGUUCAGAGGGAGAAAGUGGGAAUGCGAGAGACCCAUCAAGAGGUCCUCAUUCUCCACGCUUUUCACCCUUAAGAGUACCCAAGUCCCACCUGCCUCAAGUCACACACUACCUGAAUCCCAGCUUUGCCGUCUUUUAUAUAUAAAUGGUGCCCAGUCAUACCUACCCCUCUUUAACUGUUACAAUACCCCCGUGUCUCAUCUGCCCAGCUUUUUACUCAUACAGUAAAUGGUAUCAACUUGACCUGCCCCUUUCUACCAUAAAGACUAAUCGGAGUUUCGCUUGUCCAUGUUUUAACCAUUAAACAGUACCCCUGUCACACCUGUCGCUCUUUAUUUUAACCACUAAACACUACCCGAGUUUCACGUUCC
Long non-coding RNA from Ictalurus punctatus (channel catfish), 1556 nucleotides. NCBI's taxonomy places the organism in Eukaryota, Metazoa, Chordata, Actinopteri, Siluriformes, Ictaluridae. The record is from Ensembl.